AUUGAACGCUGGCGGCAUGCCUUACACAUGCAAGUCGAACGGCAGCACGGGAGCAAUCCUGGUGGCGAGUGGCGAACGGGUGAGUAAAGUAUCGGAACGUGCCCAGUCGUGGGGGAUAACGUAGCGAAAGUUACGCUAAUACCGCAUACGAUCUAUGGAUGAAAGCGGGGGAUCGCGAGACCUCGCGCGAUUGGAGCGGCCGAUAUCAGAUUAGGUAGUAGGUGGGGGGAAAGGCUCACCAAGCCGACGAUCUGUAGCUGGUCUGAGAGGACGACCAGCCACACUGGGACUGAGACACGGCCCAGACUCCUACGGGAGGCAGCAGUGGGGAAUUUUGGACAAUGGGCGAAAGCCUGAUCCAGCCAUGCCGCGUGCAGGAUGAAGGCCUUCGGGUUGUAAACUGCUUUUGUACGGAACGAAAAGGUUUGGCCUAAUAAGCUGAGCUCAUGACGGUACCGUAAGAAUAAGCACCGGCUAACUACGUGCCAGCCGCCGCCGUAA
RNAcentral lists this ribosomal RNA (501 nucleotides) under uncultured bacterium. Its description in RNAcentral is "partial 16S ribosomal RNA". It matches the Rfam family "Bacterial small subunit ribosomal RNA", at positions 30 to 523 of the family's 1533-position model. The record is from RNAcentral.